RNA transcript from Mangifera indica (mango), 4305 nucleotides. RefSeq lists it as uncharacterized. The transcript is spliced from 4 exons. NCBI's taxonomy places the organism in Eukaryota, Viridiplantae, Streptophyta, Magnoliopsida, Sapindales, Anacardiaceae. The record is from RefSeq and is a predicted model, not a curated record.
GCUCCCAGAUCACCAACCCGACCUUUAAACCCACCACCAGCACAGUAGUGUCGUCUUCAGUUCCGAGGAGAGAGGGCACUUUCCGACGAAGAGUAUCGAUCCAAGGUUGAGAGAGGCUUGUGUUUUCGCGGUGAAGAGAAGUUUUCGCUGGGUCACAGGUGUCGGUUUCGCCAAUUAGGGGUAAUGAUUUGUAGUGAGGAAGAAAUGGAGGAAACAGCGAGCGAAGAACUUCCGGUGGAUAGCAGAGAGAUAGAAAUAUGUCUAAAUUCGAGCUCUGUCAUGGGAAUUGAUUCACCGAAGACAAUGAAGCUCAUGGGGGAAUUGAUGGGGAAAAAAGUGUUGGUUUUAAUUGAUAGUGCGGCGACCCACAAUUUUUUGUCUGAGAAGAUGGUGAAAGAAUUAAGGAUUCCGAUUCAAGCUGCCAACUAUUCCGUGGUACUGGGUGAUGAGCGAAGGGUGCGAGGAAUUGGCCGAUGUGAAGAGGUUAUUCUGCAGCUACAGGGGAUAAUGAUUAAACAUAAUUUUUUGCCAUUUAAAUUGGGUGCUGUGGGUGCAAUAUUAGGUGUCGACUGGUUGAAUAAGCUGGGGGAAGUGAAGACCAACUGGAAGACACACACAAUGAAGCUCUAGUGGGAAGGGAAACGUGUAGCACUAAAGGGGAAUGCCGCUCUCUUUAAGCUGGAAUCUUCUCUCAAAACUUUGUUUAAGUUGGUUUGUGACGGUGCCGACGGAUUUUGGGUGGCCCUGGAGUCCCGAGACUUACAACCGGAUCAAGAGGACCAUCCUUUACAUCCCCAGGUUUCAGGAUUAUUGACUGAAUUCGAAGUGUUGUUUUGGGAAUGAGGAGACAUGACCACGCUAUUUGGCUUCGGGAAGGUGCUCAGCCACCCAAUUUAAGACCGUACCAAUUCCUUCAAUACCAGAAAGGUGAGAUUUAGAAAAUUGUGCAUGAUAUGCUCACUGCCGAGGUAGUUUGACCCAGUAUUAGUCCAUUUUCCAGCCCUAUUAUAUUUUCGUUACAAAGAAGGAUGGCGGGUGGCAUUUUUGUGUUGAUUCUUCUGCGCUUAAUCUAGUAACAGUUCUGGAUAAGUUUCCGAUUCCCAUAAUUGAUGAAUUAUUAGAUGAGUUGAGUGGCACUGCAGUCUUUACAAAGUUAGACCUUAAAUUCGGCUACCACCAAAUCCUUAUGAGGGAAGAGGAUGUAGAAAAAACAGCAUUCUAGACACAAGAGGGUCACUACGAGUUCUUGGUGAUGCUGUUUGCGUUAUCAAAUGCUCCGGUGACAUUUCAUAGUUUGAUAAAUGACAUUGUCCGCCCGUAUUUACAAAAAUUCGUUUUGGUUUUCUUCAAAGAUAUACUUAUCUACAGUAGGAUCAUUUGCAGCAUCUGAAGAUUGUUCUGGGGAUUUUAACAAAUCAGCAGCUGGUUCUAAAUAAGAAUAAGUGUUCAUUCAGCAGAGAUCAUAUUGAGUAUCUUGGACAUAUUAUUUCCAGCAGUGGGGUGGUGGCAGAUUCGAAGAAGAUAGCAGACAUGGCAUGUUGGCCAGUACAGCGCAAUAUACAUGAUCUCAGAGGAUUUUUGGGGUUGACAGGCUACUAUCGUGGAUUUGUUAAGGGGUAUGGCAAGAUCGCUGAACCACUAACUAAACUCUUGAAGAAAAAUGCUUUCCAAUGGUCUGAUGAAGCACAGCAAACCUUUCAGAACCUGAAACAAGCUAUGAUCACAGGGCCAGUGUUGGCCAUUCCAUAUUUUUCAAAACAAUUUAUAGUAGAGACUGAUGCUUUCGGUAAGGGGCUAGGCACAUUUUGGUGCAGGAGGGUCAACUGAUAGCUUACCUAAGCAAAGCUCUUUCUCUUUGAAAUCAGGGGAAGUCGGUUUAUGAACGUGAACUCAUGGCUGUCGUGCUUGCUCUGCAGAAUUGGAGACAUUAUCUCCUGGGCUGACAUUUUCAGGUUCACACAGACCAAUGCAGUUUACGAUUUCUCACAGAACAGAAGAUCGUCGGUCAUGACCAACAGUGUUGUCUUGUCAAGAUGCUUGGAUUCGAUUUUGACAUAGUUUACAAGCCUGGCUGUGAGAAUAAAACCCUGCUAUGCUGUCCCGAAAUCCCUCUUUUACUAACACAUCGCAGGCCAUGUCUACAGGUCAAAAUCAAGGGGUUGAUUGUAUUCUGCAAGAGGUUGGUAAAGAUGACAGAUUGCAGCAACUUAUUCAGGAUAUUAUCAGCAAUCCAAAUUCGCAUACUGGCUAUUCACUCAGAGGAGGUCUUCCGUUAUAUCAGGGACAGUUGGUAUUCCAGGUUUAUUCCCCAAUUGCUCACAGAAUUCCAUUCUUCUCCCUAUGGUGGCCAUUCUGGCUACUUUUGUACCUUCAAACACCUUGCUUCCGUGCUUUACUGGGAAGGAAUGAUACUGGAUGUGCAGAGGUUUGCAGCUGAAUGUGGAGUUUGCCAGAGGAUGAAGUAUCAGGCCUUCUUCAGCCUCUGCCAAUACCGAACAAAAUACGGGAAGAGGUGUCUAUGGAUUUCAUCUUGGGAUUGCCUACAGUUAAGUGGCAGAAUGUUAGUUUGGUCGUGGUGGACAGAUUGUUGAAGUAUGCUCAUUUCGUUGCUAUUAGGCAUCCAUUUACAGCUCGUGAUGUUGCAGCUGUCUUCAUUAAGGAGAUCGUUCAUCUCCUUGGUUUUCCCUUUUCGAUAGUUUCCGAUCGUGACCGCCUUUUAAUGAGUCAUUCUUGGCAAGAAUUAUUCCGGAUAUCAGGGACUCAGUUGAAGUUUAGUUCGGCCUAUCAUCUGUAAAUGGAUGGCCAAACGAAGGUCGUCAAUCAAUGUUUAGAGCAAUAUUUUUGCUGUUUUUGUGCACGGCAGCCUCAAAGUUGGCCUAAAUAGUUAUCUUUGGUUGAAUUCUGGUAUAAUUCUUCCUUUCAUUCCUCUGCUGGCAUGUCACCAUUUAAACCAGUUUAUGACCGUGAACCUGCUCCUCUAGGACUGUGGGCAGAUGACCAAUCCAAUGUUCAGGAUGUGAAUGCAUUAAUGCAACCGAGGAACUUUAUUUUGGAUGAAUUGAAAUCCAAUUUACAUGGGGCUCAGGAGGUGAUGAAACAAACAGCAGAUAAAAAAUGCAGAUAUGUGGAAUUUCAGAUCAUUUGAGAUCGUGGAUCGAGUGGGGCAAGUCGCUUACAAAUUAAGGCUGCCAGAAUCUGCUAAGAUACAUACUGUUUUCUGUGUUUCACAGUUGAAGAAGCAAUUUGGGUCUGAUUCUGAGUCUCAGCAGAUACCAGAGGAUCUCCAGGAAGAUUUAGAGUUGGUGGUCCAGCCUGAAGAUGUCUUGGAUUAUAGAUAUUCCAGCCAGAGUGAAUUGGAAUUGUUAGUUAAGUGGAGAGGUCUUCCUUCUUGUGAUAAUACCUGGGAAUCCUAUGACAACAUGGUUCAUCUUUUUCCAACCUUGCUCCUUUCAAUGGGCCGGGCUAUGUUAGGACCCGAGUUUACGUAAGUAAGAAGGCUAAAACCGAAGCAAAGGGAAGAGAGGGAAGGGCAACAGGUGGCAGAGAUUCUGGAGCUCGACGCCAGUUCGAAGCAGAUUCAGUUCAGGAUUCACAACAGCUCAAGAAAAGGGCGAUAACAGAAUUAACGGUUCAACAGAAUAAGGGGACCACGGGUAAAUUGAAGAAUGACAUGGCAGCAGCUGAAGAUAGAAGUGAAUUAGAGGGAAAAGAGCAUUAUAUGGAGCAGGAAAGGAAAGGAAAGGGGUUAAGCAGAAAUUGAGGAAGUACAGGGAAUUUAGGGAGAGAUCCAGCCUCUCUAAUGCUGGAGUUGUAUGAGUGCUGAGGGAAGGUUUGUAUUCGGUAUUGAUAAUUUGUAUCAGCAUUAUUAUUGUGGAAUGGUAGAGACCAAUAAUGAAUUCAAGAUUUCCUUCAAUCAUAAUUCUUCCAUAUAUCAUUUCUAUUUUUGUACAUUUAGUAUUGCCAUUUACAUUCUUGUUAUUGCGCUUGGAAGAUUGGUGAUUAGUGGUGAUUGUAGGAAGGGUACUGCAGUAGUGUGUCUGGAGGUGAUGCGUUGCUGGAGAAGUUAGCUGGGUUGACUGGAAUCUCACCAGUCUAGGCGUUGCAUUUUCAAAACAUAUUGUUCAGAUAUAUACUUGCAAUCCAACCGGAGAACUAAGACAGCACUUAGAAGUAUGAGAUGCAGUAGCUGGACGCAGGCAGUAUACAUUUGAAGGCCAUGAAGCUCCUGUGUAUUCAGUCUGCCCUCACCACAAAGAAAAUAUUCAGUUUAUAUUUUCUACUGCCAUUGAUGGAAAGAUCCUUGGC